CGGCACCGCCCAGCGGGCAGAGCCGCUCUAGGCACGCAGUGUGGUCUCGUCUCGUUGGCCCCGGCGCUGACGGCGCCCACACGGUACGCUGGAGCGGAGGCUGUCCUACGUGCUGCUCCCACGCUCUUCUCCCACACCUCCGCGAAAAAGGCGCGGGCCGCGCACCUUCCAACGGGAAGAGGCUCAAGGUCCCUCCCUCAGCCGUCACGGCUUCCCUCCGUGGCCCAUAAUCCCCUGGCGCGGGGGUUGUUUCCGGUGGCGGGGCUCUGAGCCCUUCACCUUUCCGUAACCAGGCGUGGUGCUGGCAAUGCCUCUCUCUCAUCGCCUCGUCGUAAAAAUAUUGCGUUAAAAAAACUCAGUUUGUUAUGCGAGCAGCAUUCCAACAGUACACAAUAAUAUCAGAAAUAGUUAAGCAAUAAAAAAAAAAAAAGUCGGGCGUGGUUGAGGCAGGAGGAUUACAGCGAAUUCUAAUCCACCUUGGGCUAAAUACCGAGAUUGUGUCAAAAACCACGGAAUUGGGGAAAUUAAGUGGAGUACUCUCUACGUUGGGAGCCAAAGAUCCCAUGAAAAUGCCCCAAUAUGUGCUGUUCCUGAUUCUAGAAAUCCUGUACACCAAAGUUCCAAAUUCUCCUGUAUUCUGUCCACAAACCUUUUAUGUCACUCGAGAUCUACGUAAUUGUAUUUAUGACAGCAGCAGCUCCACUUCUAAGUGCCAACUUGUGGGACUACGUAAGAAUGGAGUUGUGUGAGAAUAUGAGUGCUUGUGAGAAAACACCAAGAAAAUAUGAGCCUUGUGAUCUCAGUUCCUUCAAACAUGGAGCCAUUCUUAGAAUGUGCGUUCAUGCUUCUCCCAGGUGUAGCCUUUAGAGUGCAUUUUCUUCAGAUUACUCAUUAAACUGCCUAUUGUUAUUUGUUUAUAUGCCUCUAUGGAAAAAUAUGUUUUUGCCUUGUGCAAUUUGUCCUUGUGAUUGGACACUUUACUCAUGUGACUCCUCUGAACCCUCAGAGUAUAAAUUGUCUGCUGCUCUGAAUAAAGUUGGCUAUUGCAUGA
This is a long non-coding RNA of Mastomys coucha (southern multimammate mouse), 1051 nucleotides long. RefSeq lists it as uncharacterized. The transcript is spliced from 2 exons. The record is from RefSeq and is a predicted model, not a curated record. NCBI's taxonomy places the organism in Eukaryota, Metazoa, Chordata, Mammalia, Rodentia, Muridae.